RNAcentral lists this ribosomal RNA (500 nucleotides) under uncultured bacterium. RNAcentral describes it as "partial 16S ribosomal RNA". It matches the Rfam family "Bacterial small subunit ribosomal RNA", at positions 30 to 523 of the family's 1533-position model. The record is from RNAcentral.
AUUGAACGCUGGCGGAAUGCUUUACACAUGCAAGUCGAACGGCAGCACGGACUUCGGUCUGGUGGCGAGUGGCGAACGGGUGAGUAAUGUAUCGGAACGUGCCCAGUCGUGGGGGAUAACGUAGUGAAAAUUACGCUAAUACCGCAUACGAUCUAUGGAUGAAAGCGGGGGAUCGCAAGACCUCGCGCGAUUGGAGCGGCCGAUAUCAGAUUAGGUAGUUGGUGGGGUAAAGGCCCACCAAGCCAACGAUCUGUAGCUGGUCUGAGAGGACGACCAGGCACACUGGACCUGAGACACGGUCCAGACUCGUACGGGAGGCAGCAGUGGGGAAUUUUGGACAAUGGGCGAAAGCCUGAUCCGGCCAUUCCGCGUGCAGCAUGAAGGCCCUCGGGUUGUAAACUGCUUUUGUACAGAACGAAAAGGUUUCUACUAAUACUAGGAGCUCAUGACGGUACUGUAAGAAUAAGCACCGGCUAACUACGUGCCAGCAGCCGCCGUAA